RNAcentral lists this transfer RNA (92 nucleotides) under Cylindrotheca closterium. RNAcentral describes it as "tRNA-Ser". It matches the Rfam family "tRNA". Rfam says of the family: Transfer RNA (tRNA) molecules are approximately 80 nucleotides in length. Their secondary structure includes four short double-helical elements and three loops (D, anti-codon, and T loops). Lineage: Eukaryota; Bacillariophyta; Bacillariophyceae; Bacillariales; Bacillariaceae. The record is from RNAcentral.
AGGAGAAAUGGCUGAGUGGUCUAAAGCAAUAGAUUGCUAAUCUAUCGUACAAGUUUUAAUGUACCCAGGGUUCGAAUCCCUGUUUCUCCUGC